UACGAAGGAUGCGAGCGUUAUCCGGAUUUAUUGGGUUUAAAGGGUGCGUAGGCGGCCUUAUAAGUCAGUGGUGAAAUCCUAUCGCUUAACGAUAGACGUGCCAUUGAUACUGUAGGGCUUGAGUACAGAUGCCGUUGGCGGAAUGUGUCAUGUAGCGGUGAAAUGCAUAGAUAUGACACAGAACACCGAUUGCGAAGGCAGCUGACGAAACUGUAACUGACACUGAGGCACGAAAGCGUGGGGAUCAAACAGG
Molecule: ribosomal RNA, 253 nt
Filed under: uncultured bacterium
Lineage: Bacteria
Description: partial 16S ribosomal RNA
Rfam family: Bacterial small subunit ribosomal RNA
Source: RNAcentral